This 148-nucleotide non-coding RNA is filed under the name Nomascus leucogenys (northern white-cheeked gibbon). Lineage: Eukaryota; Metazoa; Chordata; Mammalia; Primates; Hylobatidae. The record is from Rfam by way of RNAcentral.
GCUGGGUGUGGUGGUGCAUACCUGUAGUCCCAGCUAUUCAGGAGGCUGAGGCAGGAGGAUUGCCUGAGCCCAGGAGGUCAAGGCGGCAGUCAGCCAUGAUCAUGCCACUGCACUUUAGCCUGGGCAACACAGCAAGACCUUGUCUCAA